RNAcentral lists this ribosomal RNA (253 nucleotides) under uncultured bacterium. RNAcentral's name for it is "partial 16S ribosomal RNA". It matches the Rfam family "Bacterial small subunit ribosomal RNA", at positions 524 to 776 of the family's 1533-position model. The record is from RNAcentral.
UACGUAGGGGGCAAGCGUUGUCCGGAUUUAUUGGGCGUAAAGAGCGUGUAGGCGGUCAGGUAGGUCCGUUGUGAAAACUCGAGGCUCAACCUCGAGACGCCGAUGGAAACCAUCUGACUAGAGUCCGGAAGAGGAGAGUGGAAUUCCUGGUGUAGCGGUGAAUGACGCAGAUAUCAGGAAGAACACCCGUGGCUAAGGCGGCUCUCUAGUACGGUACUGACGCUGAGACGCGAAAGCGUGGGGAGCGAACAGG